This 25-nucleotide non-coding RNA is filed under the name Cricetulus griseus (Chinese hamster). Lineage: Eukaryota; Metazoa; Chordata; Mammalia; Rodentia; Cricetidae. The record is from RNAcentral.
GCGCGCUUGCUCUGCGCUUCCCCGG